Molecule: ribosomal RNA, 85 nt
Rfam family: 5.8S ribosomal RNA
About the family: 5.8S ribosomal RNA (5.8S rRNA) is a component of the large subunit of the eukaryotic ribosome. It is transcribed by RNA polymerase I as part of the 45S precursor that also contains 18S and 28S rRNA.
AUUGCAGAAUCUCGCGAGUCAUCAAACCUUUGAACGCACCUUGCGCUGCCGGGUUAUUCCUGGCAGCAUGUUUGUUGGAGUGUCU